GAUGAACGCUGGCGGCGUGCCUAAUACAUGCAAGUCGAGCGAACGGACGAGAAGCUUGCUUCUCUGAUGUUAGCGGCGGACGGGUGAGUAACACGUGGAUAACCUACCUAUAAGACUGGGAUAACUUCGGGAAACCGGAGCUAAUACCGGAUAAUAUUUUGAACCGCAUGGUUCAAAAGUGAAAGACGGUCUUGCUGUCACUUAUAGAUGGAUCCGCGCUGCAUUAGCUAGUUGGUAAGGUAACGGCUUACCAAGGCAACGAUGCAUAGCCGACCUGAGAGGGUGAUCGGCCACACUGGAACUGAGACACGGUCCAGACUCCUACGGGAGGCAGCAGUAGGGAAUCUUCCGCAAUGGACGAAAGCCUGACGGAGCAACGCCGCGUAAGUGAUGAAGAUCUUCGGAUCGUAAAACUCUGUGAUUAGUGAAGAACAUAUGUGUAAGUAACUGUGCACAUCUUGACGGUACCUAAUCAGAAAGCCACGGCUAACUACGUG
RNAcentral lists this ribosomal RNA (497 nucleotides) under uncultured bacterium. RNAcentral's name for it is "partial 16S ribosomal RNA". It matches the Rfam family "Bacterial small subunit ribosomal RNA", at positions 28 to 507 of the family's 1533-position model. The record is from RNAcentral.